RNAcentral lists this unclassified non-coding RNA (308 nucleotides) under Hevea brasiliensis (rubber tree). The record is from RNAcentral. Lineage: Eukaryota; Viridiplantae; Streptophyta; Magnoliopsida; Malpighiales; Euphorbiaceae.
CGACAGUGUCUCAGAAAUGAGUGUGGAAAGCCCCUCACCAGUGCUUCUUUCCAUGGAUGUAUGCCAUGAAUUGUAUCCGAUAAAAAUAAAUUGUAGAUUCCCAGCACGUUUAGGCACUAAGGGAACCUCUAAUUGCACGGUGGUCAGAGAAUCAGGCACUUCCUCCCAGCAAGGGCAUUUUUCUACUGAAAAUGUAAGUGUAGACAGUGUACAAGUUGUGAAGCAGGACCCUGAUUGGUUGGAAAAGAAGAAACGUCGUAGGAAACCUGCAAGGAGAAUAAUCUCAUUGUCUGAAGAACAUAUGGAAG